Molecule: long non-coding RNA, 1299 nt
Filed under: Nicotiana tabacum (common tobacco)
Lineage: Eukaryota; Viridiplantae; Streptophyta; Magnoliopsida; Solanales; Solanaceae
Description: long non-coding RNA (NTAB_LNC012246)
Source: RNAcentral
UCCGCUCCCAUAGUUUCACUCGUUCUAUUACCCCUUUCCUCUUACAAGCAAAGCUUCAGUAUUCUUAACUAUGGCAGAAGCUUGCCUCGCCGAUUUUGAGUAAGUCCUUUGUCUCUCUUCAAAACCCGUGACUCUUCUCUCUCUCUCUCAUUUGCAACGAGAUUUAGUCAACACAAGAGGCCAAAAGACUUUGGGCAUUUCGAUUUUUCUGACCAAAUCACGUGAGGCUCUUUCGAAUUACAACGUUCAGAUUCAAACGGUUUUUUUUACUGAAAUUCAAAUCCUUGAUUUCAAAUUUCUGCUCAAGAGGACCCAUCCAAAAUCAUCUCUCAAAGAACCCUAACUUUCCUCUAAAAAUACCCUCUUUUGUUUUCAGACGAAGCAGAGGUGGAAGGAACAAGAAUCACCACUUUACAUUGUCCAAAAUACUAAGUCUAAGAAGGACUCCGCCUUUGCUCGAACACUAUCAGUUUUACUCUUACCGUUGUUAACUUUCUUUCUAUCUCGUUUAACUUUGGUCGUGACAGAUAUUCGAACUCGUUCGGCUUGAAGUUCGGAUCUGUUCGUGACAAUAUAGAGUAGAUUCGGGAUUCGAUGCCCUAGUUCACUAUCCCACAAAAGGUAAUAGUCGACCCUGCUUCAGGUUCUCCUAUUUAAUUUAAAAUAUUGUGUUUACAUAGAAGAAUCGCGUUUUAGGUUUCCUUUUCUUUAGUUGUCACUAUUUUUAAGUUUUGUUCUUGGUCGAGUUUAGUAUAAGCAUUGCGCUAGAAAUUAUGCUUUAACUUUUCUCUAAUCGCAUCUAGAUAUAUUGUUAUUUUGGACAACCUGUCGUGGUAUCAUGCCUUUAGAUUUUCUUAAAAAUCAGAAUUAUGUUUAAAGUUAUGACCUGAACAUGUACUUAGUGAAAAUCAUGCUUUUAGGGUCUGUUGUCAUCUUUGCGUGAAUAUUAAAACUUAGGACCUUGUUUCUGAUCAAUGUGAUGUUCUCUAGGUAUUAGGCCAAGGAUCUCGUUUUUGUGAAUUGGGAUCAUAUGAGAAAAAUCAUGUCUGCUCCUAUCUUUUCUUGAAAGAUGAUGAAUUAUAUUAAGUUUUGAAAUACCUCAAAUUGAAACAGAUUCUAGUUGACUCGAUUCACUAUGAUAAAACACUGAUUCUGAGCUUACAAGUUCUUUUUUAUAAAUAUUGACAUCCUUUUGCUACUGUCGAAUGUUGUAAAAUAUGUCAUUACCUACUCACGUUUAAAUCAACUUUUAUUUGAUUCCUAUAGAGUGGACUUUAAGACUUUAUAUUGAUACUGAAU